UGGGCGACGACCGGCAAACGGGUGCGUAACACGUACGCAAUCUACCCACUACAGGGGAAUAGCCCAGGGAAACUUGGAUUAAUACCCCAUAUUAUAUGGAGUUGGCAUCAACUUCAUAUCAAAGCUUCGGCGGUAGUGGAUGAGCGUGCGGUUGAUUAGAUAGUUGGCGGGGUAACGGCCCACCAAGUCUACGAUCAAUAGCUGAUGUGAGAGCAUGAUCAGCCACACGGGCACUGAGACACGGGCCCGACUCCUACGGGAGGCAGCAGUAAGGAAUAUUGGGCAAUGGACGCAAGUCUGACCCAGCCAUGCCGCGUGAAGGAUGAAGGUCCUCUGGAUUGUAAACUUCUUUUAUCUGGGGCGAAAACAACUCUUUCUAGGGUUCUUGACAGUACCAGAGGAAUAAGCACCGGCUAACUCCGUGCCAGCAGCCGCGGUAAUACGGAGGGUGCAAGCGUUAUCCGGAUUCACUGGGUUUAAAGGGUGCGUAGGCGGGUUAGUAAGUCAGUGGUGAAAUCCCCGAGCUUAACUUGGGA
This 536-nucleotide ribosomal RNA is filed under the name uncultured Chitinophagaceae bacterium. RNAcentral's name for it is "bacterial SSU rRNA". It matches the Rfam family "Bacterial small subunit ribosomal RNA", at positions 85 to 619 of the family's 1533-position model. The record is from RNAcentral. Lineage: Bacteria; Pseudomonadati; Bacteroidota; Chitinophagia; Chitinophagales; Chitinophagaceae.